GGUGGCUCAGUGGUAAUGUGCAUGCCUUGCAAGCAUGAGGCCCUGGGUUCAAUUCCUCAGCACCA
RNAcentral lists this transfer RNA (65 nucleotides) under Dipodomys ordii (Ord's kangaroo rat). It matches the Rfam family "tRNA". From Rfam's summary of the family: Transfer RNA (tRNA) molecules are approximately 80 nucleotides in length. The record is from Rfam by way of RNAcentral. Lineage: Eukaryota; Metazoa; Chordata; Mammalia; Rodentia; Heteromyidae.